This 21-nucleotide microRNA is filed under the name Ciona intestinalis (vase tunicate). RNAcentral's name for it is "Cin-Mir-15-P1_5p (mature (guide))". Lineage: Eukaryota; Metazoa; Chordata; Ascidiacea; Phlebobranchia; Cionidae. The record is from RNAcentral.
UAGCAGCACACAAAACUAUCA